Molecule: ribosomal RNA, 492 nt
Filed under: uncultured bacterium
Lineage: Bacteria
Description: partial 16S ribosomal RNA
Rfam family: Bacterial small subunit ribosomal RNA
Source: RNAcentral
AGUGAACGCUGGCGGCGGGCCUAACACAUGCAAGUCGAACGGAAGCACAGUAAGAGCUUGCUCUUACGGGUAGCGAGUGGCGGGCGAGUGAGGAAUGCAUCGGCAUCUACUUUUUCGUGGGGGAUAACGUGGGGCCACUUACGCUAAUACCGCAUACGACCUACGGGUGAAAUCAGGGGAUAUUCGGACCUUGCGCGUUUGAUUGAGCCGAUGUCGGAUUAGCUAGUUGGCGGGGUAAAGGCCCACCAAGGCGACGAUCCGUAGCUGGUCUGAGAGGAUGAUCAGCCACACUGGAACUGAGACACGGUCCAGACUCCUACGGGAGGCAGCAGUAGGGAAUAUUGGGCAAUGGGCGAAAGCCUGAUCCAGCCAUGCCGCGUGAGUGAAGAAGGCCUUCGGGUUGUAAAGCCCUGUUGUUGGGAAAGAAAAGCAGCAGGUGAAUACCCCGCUGUUCUGACGGUACCCAAAGAAUAAGCACCGGCUAACUUCGUG